RNAcentral lists this long non-coding RNA (856 nucleotides) under Rattus norvegicus (Norway rat). RNAcentral's name for it is "long non-coding RNA NONRATT028536". Lineage: Eukaryota; Metazoa; Chordata; Mammalia; Rodentia; Muridae. The record is from RNAcentral.
GUUACAUAGUAGACUUUGCCAUGGGAGUACAUGGCCAUCUUCCAUCAAGAAAGCAGAAGAUUUGGCUCGCCAGUGGAGAAGAGAGAUAGCUGGCUAAACUUGAUUAUGCUUAAUUAUUCUGUGAUUAGUAUUUGUGUUAUAUUAAACAGAUGUCCUGGCACAGAGUACUCUGUUUGUAUUCAUUAAUUAGUUCACUUAUUGAUUCACAGAUCCUUAAUGAUCAUCUUCUCUGUGCUGGUAAAGGGAGGGCAGAAAUGAACAAGACGUGGUCCCUGUCCCUUAGGCUGUAUCUUUUCAUCACGGAAGAGUCGGGGACAGUGAUGAUGAGUGGACUUUGGGAAGGAAGCAGUAGAAACAUCCUCAGUAUAGAUUGAAAUCCAUCAUGAAUCAUAGAUGGAAAAGACUUCGGACUUCCAAGGAGUUUUGGAAUCACCCCCAUAGCAGAGGGGAGUGAGCAAAGAUGUGGAUGUGGCAGGAUGGUGUCAGUGGGGAGAGGGGGAUCAAGAUGAAGCCUCUGUGGCUGGUUUGCAGGACUUAGACUGUGAUACAGCAACCAGACUACCUUUAAGCAGGUAAAUAGAAUGAAGCAGUAUAGAGUGGAACCCAGGAGGAGUCAGGGUAGAAGAAAGGAGAGUAGUGGGAGCAGGAAAGUCAUAAACACAGAAAGCUCCGUAAAGCACUUUGCUAUGAGAAUAUGAGGUCCUGGGUUUACAGCCCCAGCACACACAAAAAACUAAACUUGGUAGCAUUUGUCCUACUAAGGAGGUAGAGACAUAAGACCACACAGAUUCUCUAGUCAAAUUGAUUGGCCUCAAAUUUAAUUAGACAGCAUGUCUCAAAAAAAAAAACCAACAAC